Molecule: ribosomal RNA, 847 nt
Filed under: uncultured archaeon
Lineage: Archaea
Description: bacterial SSU rRNA
Rfam family: Archaeal small subunit ribosomal RNA
Source: RNAcentral
CCGAUUGGGAUUAAGAAUGUUAGUCGUGCGCUUCCUAGCCUGAUGGAGGCCGGCGCACAGCUCAGUAUCACGUGGCUAACCUAACCUUAGGACGGGGGCACCCCCGGGAAACUGGGGCUAAUUUCCGAUAGGUGAAGAUUCCUGGAAUGGAUUUUUGCUUAAAGGGCACUUGGAUCAUGCUUCCAGGUGUUGCCUAAGGAUGGGGCCGCGGCCGAUCAGGUUGUUGGUGAGGUAAUGGCUCACCAAACCUAUAACCGGUACGGGCCGUGGGAGCGGAAGCCCGGAGAUGGGCACUGAGACAAGGGCCCAGGCCCUACGGGGCGCAGCAGGCGCGAAAACUCCGCAAUGCGCGAAAGCGCGACGGGGCUACCCCGAGUGUUGUCCGCUGAGGAUGACUUUUCUCUGGUUUAAUAAUCCAGGGGAAUAAGAGGAGGGCAAGUCUGGUGUCAGCCGCCGCGGUAAUACCAGCCCCUCGAGUGGUGGGGGUGUUUAUUGGGCUUAAAGCGUCCGUAGCCGGUUCGGUAAGUCUCCUGUUAAAUCUAACGAUCCAAUCGUUGGUCUGCGGGAGAUACUGCCGGGCUAGGGGACGGGAGAGGCUGACGGUAUUCCCGGGGUAGGGGUGAAAUCCUAUAAUGCCGGGAGGACCACCAGUGGCGAAGGCGGUCAGCUAGAACGCGCUCGACGGUGAGGGACGAAAGCUGGGGGAGCGAUCCGGAUUAGAUACCCGGGUAGUCCCAGCUGUAAACGAUGCAGGCUGGGUGUUGGCAUAACUACGGGUUAUGCCAGUGCCGCAGGGAAACUGUUUAGCCUGCCGCCUGGGGAGUACGGUCGCAAGACUGAACUUAAG